CUGCUUCUGCAGUGUGUUCAACCAUUCAGUCCAUAAGAAGUGCUGCUGUGAAGAGAACAACGGUCACACUGAAUGUUGAACAUCAGCUAGUUGAAACCUUGUUGUCGAGAUGGAACAUUUGCUGUGGAUCAUUCUGGCUGCUCUGUUCUCUGAGUGUAAAGGAGAAGACAGAGUGACCCAGUCAACAGGAGAUGUCAUCGCUACUGAAGGACAGACUGUUACACUCGACUGUACAUUUGAGACGACUUCCAACGUUCCCACUUUGUUCUGGUACAAACAACAAGACAAUGAUUUCCCAAAGUACAUGCUGAAAGGUUUCUCAAGAAAGUAUUUAAAGCUCCAGAGUUCCUCAAAGACAGAUUUGAUGCUUCAAUCAACAAGACAUCAGUUCCUCUGAAGAUCCAGAAGCUUCAUCUGUCAGACUCUGCUGUGUACUACUGUGCUCUGAGGCCCACAGUGACAGGAAACACCACAACUCUGUACAAAAACCUUUGGAGCAAAGACAAUACUGUACAACAUCCACUAGAGGGAGCCUCACUCUGUAACUUCAGUAGUGUUGUUGAUACAGUCUGGAUUCUUUGUUGUGGUGAUGAAAACAACAGAAAAUGAAGCACUGAAGACGAAACUGAGGGAAGUGAUGAUAUGGAGGUGUUGUUGCUUAAAAAUAAUAAUAUGAACAAUAUUUCAUCAUAAUCGAGUGUCAAUGAAAAUCCUCUGACAUCUAAUGGAGCUGAAAUUAAAGUCUGUAACUCAAUUGUUUUUACAAUUAUAAUUGGCUAAUUUUAAAACUAUUUCAAUAAUGCAAA
Cyclopterus lumpus (lumpfish) is the source of this 806-nucleotide non-coding RNA. The record is from the annotation of a RefSeq genome assembly. NCBI's taxonomy places the organism in Eukaryota, Metazoa, Chordata, Actinopteri, Perciformes, Cyclopteridae.